This 476-nucleotide ribosomal RNA is filed under the name uncultured fungus. RNAcentral's name for it is "SSU rRNA". It matches the Rfam family "Eukaryotic small subunit ribosomal RNA", at positions 607 to 1089 of the family's 1831-position model. Lineage: Eukaryota; Fungi. The record is from RNAcentral.
UAAGUUGUUGUGGUUAAAAGCUCGUAGUCGAAUCUUGGGCCUGGCUGGCCGGUCCGCCUCACCGCGUGUACUGGUCCGGCCGGGUCUUUCACUCUGCGGAACCACAUGCCCUUCAGUGGGUGUGGCGGGGAAGCAGGACUUUUACUUUGAAAAAAUUAGAGUGCUCUAAGCAGGCCAAUGCUCGAAUACAUUAGCAUGGAAUAAUAAAAUAGGACGCGCGGUUCUAUUUUGUUGGUUUCUAGGACCGCCGUAAUGAUGAAUAGGGACAGUCGGGGGCAUCAGUAUUCAGUUGUCAGAGGUGAAAUUCUUGGAUUUAUUGAAGACUAACUACUGCGAAAGCAUUUGCCAAGGAUGUUUUCAUUAAUCAGGAGCGAAAGUUAGGGGAUCGAAGACGAUCAGAUACCGUCGUAGUCUUAACCAUAAACUAUGCCGACUAGGGAUCGGACGGUGUUAUUUCUUGACCCGUUCGGCACCUU